Ictalurus punctatus (channel catfish) is the source of this 1808-nucleotide long non-coding RNA. Lineage: Eukaryota; Metazoa; Chordata; Actinopteri; Siluriformes; Ictaluridae. The record is from Ensembl.
AUUAGCAUUUUUCCAUAUCAUUUCCCAUCUCUAAUGCAGUAUGAUAUAUAUGUUAAGCCAAUUUGUAAUUCCAGUAAUAAACUGGAAUAAAAAAACAAACAAACAAAAAAAACUAGUCUAAACAGACUAGAAAAGCUUGUCAGAAGAAACUUUGCAGUACAUUUUUAGUUUAAAAAACCCAAAACUUUAUAAUCAGGAUUUUUUUUUUUUACUGAUUGUGGUGUGAACUGGAUAGUCCCCACAGGGUGGGUUGGGAUGUGCUAUGUGCUACUUGUUGGGAUGUAAUAGCAACCUCUGGCACCUUACUGCCCAAAUACAAAUACCUACCAGAUACUGGCGUUUCUUCUAUGGCAUGUAUGGCAUCAUGUAUGUUGGCCUCAGUUACGUCUUACUGUGUAGACUUCCAGUGCUAGACUGGAAUGCGAGUUCUGUGGGCAUGAGGUCUGGUACUCUGGUACUGCUGAGAUUUGCUCUUGAAGUUUUGGCAGGCACAUGGUAAAUUCUCCUCAGAUGCUCCAGUGAUCAGGGAACAUUGCCUGUCUUUUGCUGUCACUGUACAUGAAGUGUCUCUGCCCCUUUUUUGAUUUUCACCAAACCGGACAUGGUGGAAAUGUUUAGGCUUCCCAGUGCCUGUCUAACCUCAUGUGACAGCUUGAGUGGGAAACAGUCCUUUCUGCCACUGAAGUAACUGACAGUUCAUCCUGCCUGGAGCACAUGGCUCAUCUGAUACCAUGAUGUAAGUGGGUAUGACUCCAACACAAGCCAAGAUCAAAUUAUUUCAGUUCCUCAUACUCCAUUGUGUUGAAUUUUGAUAUUCUGUAGAAGGCUACCAGUCAUCUACCAGUCAUGCUUCUUGCAGUUCUCACUCUUGGCAAUAAUUUCAAAGUAUUCAUUGUUAGUGGUCAUCUUAGUGAGGAGAACAAAUGACGGCUGCCAUGGUUCCUGCACACCCUUGGUAGGUUUUCAGACAAAUGUCCAGCUCCUGAGUAACCGGGCUUGGGGAGUAACAGAAUACAUGUAAAGGCAUUACAUAAUCAGGACACAAAAAACUGGUAACUGUAAUCCAUUUCUGUUAUGUCAAUAAACAAAGUAAUCAGAUUACAGGUACAUUUUGUAACAAACAAAUGGGAAUACUAUCAGGAUUUUUUUUUCAUUUAAAACCGAAUAAAUUCAUCUUUUGACAUAAUACAAUGUAGACAGCUGAUAGAUUACAGUUCUGUUUCUCUCUUGCCAGUCGUGAGUCACAUUGAGCAAACGCCUGGUGCAUGCCAGUGUUGCCCAUACAGAGGCUCUACUUGGGCAGCCCACCCAGGUAGAUUAAGACAUACCCAGGUAGAUGAAAUCCGAAGUCCAAUUUUUCUUUUCAUUCAAGACAUGCAAUUGUCAGUUCAUAAUGAACACAAUCCAGUGGACCUUCAACCCCCCGAAAAAAAAAAGCGCCAGGAACAUGCGGCCCAUUCCCGAACGGUUAACAAUCAGGAAAUAACGUUUUAUUUCUCUCAUUCACCACCGCUCACUCUCUUCAGUCGCUGUCCAGCUCACUUGACCACCGCUGCUCUCGCUCUCUCUCUUGUUCCUUGCUGUCAAUUCGCUCUCUCAUCUUACCUCUACAGACAGGCGUUGGAAAAGUUUUUUCCCAGCCAAGGAAAAUUAAAUGUUCCAGCAAGCAAUGCCAACUGUGCAAAUAGGCACAUUUGAAAAUGUAUUCCAUAAGGUAAAUAGUUAUUUCUUUUGAAAGUUAUUUCUUUUGACAUGUUCAUCAAAAAUUAGAGUCUGUGUUUUGUUCUUUAAUAUAUUUUGAAAAUGGA